AGAACUCAGCUUAUUAUUUCUUUCCACAGCUUUAUAUUCUGUUAUAUUAUUCUGUGUGUUUUUCUGGAUCCCUUUUGUCUACUUCUACUAUGAAGAAAAGGAUGAUGAUGAUACUAGUAAAUGUACUCAAAUUAAAACGGCAUUCAAGUAUACUUUGGGAUUUGCUGUAAUUUGUGCACUUCUUCUUUUAGUUGGUUCUAGAGGUUAGAAGUCCGUGGUCAGAAUGUUGGCAAGUUUGGUUUCUG
Molecule: non-coding RNA, 245 nt
Organism: Leptonychotes weddellii (Weddell seal)
Lineage: Eukaryota; Metazoa; Chordata; Mammalia; Carnivora; Phocidae
Source: RefSeq, a predicted model, not a curated record